Phocoena sinus (vaquita) is the source of this 2217-nucleotide long non-coding RNA. Lineage: Eukaryota; Metazoa; Chordata; Mammalia; Artiodactyla; Phocoenidae. The record is from Ensembl.
ACAGCCGGAAGGCGAGACGCCGCGGGAAAAGCGGUCCUGUUAGGUGGUCAAGGUGGUUUGGGGCUGAGGUCGUCUCCUCAAGAGUAACCGCGGGCCUGUGCUACGGUCACGCCACCGGCCUUCGUUUCCUUUAGCCUUCUCUCUCACCAAACGAUUUUCCUGUCCACUUAUAAAGUGCAAGUUGUUUCCCCAAGGUUCCAGCAUUUCUUCAUCGGUGGUUGUUCAGCAUUUAGUUGUGACCCUAGUUUUUCCAUCAGAAGAGUACGCGGGCCUCUCACUUCCGCGGCCUCUCCUGCUGCAGAGCACAGGCUCCAGACGCGCAGGCCCAGCGGCCGUGGCUCACGGGCCCAGCCACUCCGCGGCAUGUGGGAUCAUCCCGGACGGGGGCACGAACCUGUGUCCCCCGCAUCGGCAGGAGGACUCUCAACCACUGCGCCACCAGGGAAGCCCCAUUGCAAUUUUAAAAGCUGAGAUGGAGCAAUAGAGACCAGAUGUACCUUUCCCAGCUGAAACAACUAAAAACACAAGACAAAAUGUAUUAAAGAAUGGUUCUUGAGACACUGGACACUACACGGUGAAGAACAGUGAUCCCUGAGAGAUGAGAAACAAAUAAGAUCUUGGAAUGCUCCAGUCUUUUUGCAAAGUCGAUGAGUGGCUUCAGCACUGGGGAAGAAGCCCGAAAGGUGACCAGAUGGAACCUGCAUUCACAGUCUUCAAAGUUCCCUUUUGAAACAUAAGGAAGAGAAUGAAGGGGAGAAGGAUUUCACACUUUCGGGGUAAGGGGAGAUUUUUUUCUGUUGAUGUUUGGCUAUGAAGGUGAAACAGCAAAGCAUCUAUUUGUCUCCAAAAUCUACGUUAUAGCAGCACAAAGGUUUCCUUUCAAAGUUCAGACCGCUUUUUUAAGAUGAGAAAGGGUGUAUGUUGCGUUGUGUUGUGUGUUACAGGAAUACGGAUAUUAACAUAAACACAAGUGCCUCACACACAGUUCCUUUUUUGCUCUCUGUACGUACAUUGCUAUCUGCUUCUUUGUUGGCUGCGCUCUGGAUCACUCGCUGCUCAGACUGCCUAACACAAGGACAAAAGUUUGAAGUAAAAAGUGUGUCUUUUGGUAUAUGGAAUUGUCUUUAACAGCUGCCUCUCUGCUUGCAGAAGAAGCACAUAACAACCUGGGAAUCUUCUGUUUUACUCUUUCUUUUAUUAAACUAAGUCUUGUUUAUUUAAAUCAGAAACAAAUUCUCAAGUAACAAGAACCCUUUCCCUUUUUUCUGCCUCAGCAGUGAAAGGGUGUGUCUUUGGAUUUUAUUUAAAGCAUGAAAUUUCUUUUUCUGAGAGAGGAAAGAAAACAAAACAAAAACACAGAAACCAAACCCCUAACCAAAAACUUUUUUAGAAAAGAAAAGCACACAGCCCAAUUACACAAACUGAAACAAAUGCUUUAGUUUAGGAAAAGAAUAUUUGAAGCAUCUACCAAACAAGGAGGGGACAAAAAGGGUGAAAAGAAAAACCAAAGGAAGGAUAAAUAAAAAAUAAAUGUACAAGGCUAACAGACAUAGGUAACUAGAAUUAUAUGCCUUUAAAAAGUUUCAACUCCCCAACCAAAAAUAAUCUGUGAGGAUCCUAAUGACCCCUAGAACCCUUUGAAAUUCUUUCUUUAGUUUUAUAAAAUAAUUCUGCAGCUACCCUCUAAGAAACGAAGGCAGCUACCUUAAGUGGGAGAUUAUAGGGUGGGAGGAGGAAAGAGAAAGUGGAAUUAAGGGACAAAGGGGAGAAAAGCUUAGGUGAAUCAACGGAUUGCAAUCUAUCUGCUAGGAAUGAACAAGACAACAUCAAGUGAGGAGCUGUCAGCUGGACCAUACAAAAAGCUAAAUGUACACAAAAGGGUUUUUUUUUUUUCCUUUUAAAUCUACCAUACUGCUUCAGUUCAUUUCCAAUGCAACAAUCUACUCAACACCAAAAAUGGUCAUAUCUAUCAUAAAUACAGAAAGUCAGUUUUUAAAACUUAUUUUUUUAAGCUACAAGUCCUCAACACUCUGUGUGUGGGUUGUUUUUUUGUUUUUUUUUCUGAAAGUGGGAGUGCUUAACUUUUCCCCUUGAAAUUGGCUUCAGCAGAAAAGCUAUUCUUAAAAUCCCCAGAAAGCUAAAGCAGUUCACAUUGUUUUUCUCAAAUACUUUCUGCCCGUUUUUAAAUUAACAAAACAAAUAAUCUUUUCUGGAACG